Molecule: long non-coding RNA, 276 nt
Filed under: Olea europaea (common olive)
Lineage: Eukaryota; Viridiplantae; Streptophyta; Magnoliopsida; Lamiales; Oleaceae
Description: long non-coding RNA (OEUR_LNC001271)
Source: RNAcentral
CCGCCGAUGUCGAACGUAAUGAGUUCUACUUGGGUCCUUUCUUCAACAAUGCGGAGGCAGUUGAACAAGCGGCGGUGGGUCAGCUGUUUCCUUGCACUCAAGGUCCUCCUUUUCUGAACUCUCUGUCGUUGGGGCCACUUCGCGAAAGAGGUAUUCGCACUUGGCCUAAAUCUGAUGUAGCUUUUCGUAGGUGGCAUGCUCGCCUUGUGGGUCAUGGUCCUACUAAGGCAUUUUUUGAUAGCGCUAGGAUUUCUGACUUGUUAGAAAUCUCUAUUC